Molecule: ribosomal RNA, 544 nt
Filed under: uncultured bacterium
Lineage: Bacteria
Description: partial 16S ribosomal RNA
Rfam family: Bacterial small subunit ribosomal RNA
Source: RNAcentral
UGGGGAAUCUUCCGCAACGGACGAAAGUCUGACGGAGCAACGCCGCGUGAGUGAAGAAGGUUUUCGGAUCGUAAAACUCUGUCUUUUGGGGCGAACGUGAGUAUGGUGAACAAUCAUAGUCAGUGACGGUACCAAAGGAGGAAGCCACGGCUAACUACGUGCCAGCAGCCGCGGUAAUACGUAGGUGGCAAGCGUUGUCCGGAAUUAUUGGGCGUAAAGAGCGCGUAGGCGGGAUAGUCAGUCUGUUGUAAAAGUGCGGGGCUCAACCCCGUGAUGGCAAUGGAAACAGCUAUUCUUGAGUGCAGGAGAGGAAAGUGGAAUUCCCAGUGUAGCGGUGAAAUGCGUAGAUAUUGGGAGGAACACCAGUGGCGAAGGCGACUUUCUGGACUGUGUCUGACGCUGAGGCGCGAAAGCCAGGGGAGCGAACGGGAUUAGAUACCCCGGUAGUCCUGGCCGUAAACGAUGGGUACUAGGUGUGGGAGGUAUCGACCCCUUCCGUGCCGGAGUUAACGCAAUAAGUACCCCGCCUGGGGAGUACGGUCGC